GCGAACGCUGGCGGCAGGCUUAACACAUGCAAGUCGAACGCAUCCUUCGGGAUGAGUGGCAGACGGGUGAGUAACACGUGGGAACGUACCCUUCGGUUCGGAACAACUCUGGGAAACUGGAGCUAAUACCAGAUACGCCCUUUUGGGGAAAGGUUUACUGCCGAAGGAUCGGCCCGCGUCUGAUUAGCUAGUUGGUGGGGUAACGGCCUACCAAGGCGACGAUCAGUAGCUGGUCUGAGAGGAUGAUCAGCCACAUUGGGACUGAGACACGGCCCAAACUCCUACGGGAGGCAGCAGUGGGGAAUAUUGGACAAUGGGCGCAAGCCUGAUCCAGCCAUGCCGCGUGAGUGAUGAAGGCCUUAGGGUUGUAAAGCUCUUUUGUCCGGGACGAUAAUGACGGUACCGGAAGAAUAAGCCCCGGCUAACUUCGU
This 431-nucleotide ribosomal RNA is filed under the name uncultured bacterium. RNAcentral describes it as "bacterial SSU rRNA". It matches the Rfam family "Bacterial small subunit ribosomal RNA", at positions 29 to 506 of the family's 1533-position model. The record is from RNAcentral.